GGCAAAGCGGGAGGCCGGCGGCAUGGAGAUCGCCGGUGAGCUUUUUUCAUCUCAGUUUUACCUCAUUCUUACCUUUCCAAGGAUGCGUGUGUGCUUUCACGAGUCGAUGCAUGUAGUUUAUUAUAAUGUUUAAUUCUAUUCUUGAUCUUUGUUUUCAUUUUAGUAUUGUUUGCCCUUCCGUUUUGUUCUUGAUCGCACCGCCAUACAUUUUCCAUCUGGCGUUGACCUUUAUUCCUAAAACAAUAAAUGUUUAUUGGAUGGUUUGCCUUUUUUGGGUGAAAAUAGAUUGUUUUCUAAGUGGAUAAACAUGCAUUUUUAUCAGAUGUAUCAUGUCCAUGUUGUACUGGUGACUUGGCAUAUUGUUUUUUUAAUCACACUGCCACCUAUUUCUCUAUUCAGAGUACAGGGAGGAAAAUAUCAACCUCCUGCAACCAACAAUGUAGUAAUUUACUAUUUUUGAGCUCUUUGGAUAUCAUAUGUAGAUGUACAUUUCAGUGCCUUUCUUUUCUGGACUACACUACUUUUCAGAUUUCCAGUGUCUGAAUCUUCAGUACAAAAGAUAGUCAAGCUUAUAUGGUGUUUCACAGGAGCAUUGGUACCGAUCAUUGAGAAUAUACCUCUCCGCUACAUGUAUGCGAUUGUCAUAGUACCUAGGUUCAAGAAAUGUUUUUUAAUGGUGCUAGAGUCCGGGAAGUGAAAACUGAACCUUUUAUGGUGAAGGAUCAUCGCGGAGAAGGUGAAUUUACGCCUUAGCUUUAUCUGUAACUGUUUCUUCGUGUUGGUAUUAAGCCGCCAAGGAAGUUUCAAGAAAAAUGUGCUUUGAAGUACCAUAUUAUGCAGUUAGCUCAGGGAGACAACGAUACAGUUAUCACCAUCUUGAGAUGUCCUCCUAACUACUAUACUCAUUCAUGGGCGUUCCGCUCUAUGGCACACCUAGAACGGGGACGAUAUUGUUUGAUAGAGCCACUGCCCAUUAUGAAAUGAAUUGGAUUGGAUUACACCUUAUCGUGUGCUUUAUCAGGAGUUGUGUAAGUACUAAUUAUGCCAACCUGCGGCAACACUCUAAUGGUUUCUCCACAAAGGAUGCCUCCUGGAGCUCUACUUCUCUCCCACCCCAACACCGGUAUAGUAUGAAAAUCCUAUUACUAAAUAGCUUACUGUUUGAUGCUUAUGUUUGUUGGUGUAGUAAUCAUUUUUGAAGGUCCACUCCCGGAGGAUGUUACUCGAGGCUUCCGUAUAGUCGAGUGAUUUUGCUUUUGCAUGCUAAUAAUACAAUAUAGAUGGAUAUAAUUAAUAGUUCUUGGUGCAUAUUAUUUUGUCUCAAUACCAUAAAUUCAAUGUAAAGGUUUGCAUUAUUAUUGUCGAAUCUAAAUUACAUCAAAGACUUGAACAGGGAAUGAUGCCUCUUUUAACUGAUUGGUGUGCUUUUUUAACUCUCUUUAAUGAGUAAAUCAUAGUGUAGUUGCAUCUUAUAUUCUAUUUGGGCAUGUAGGUGUGUGCUUCCUCACUUUUCCCUUUCUUAUAAGUUGUCCUCAUUUUGUAGCUUCUAUUUAGGUUUGGAUUUCUUCAACCCGCAAGGCCCGUCCGGUUGUGAGCUACAAUGAAUUUGUUAAGAGUUGGAGGAGACAACAUUGCACAUUAGAGCUACGCUGAAUGUAGCGAGGCAACCACGAAUUGCGUAUGUUCACACGAGGGAUGGGAGAGGAGAGGAACAUUAACAUUUUUCAUGCUUUGGAUGAAAAUUUCAAUUCAUAGUUUCUCUGUACGUGGCAACACACUAGCGGUACUCAUGGGCUUAGGAUGAAAGUUGCGCCAGCAGAAUUAGUAGGUUGGAUGGGAAGGCGGUUGUUGCCCAUGUCCCUUGGUGCGGGACUACCGUGGCGGCCUCACUAACUUGCUCACUGCGAAUACGAGUUCGUGGGGUCGUGAGUUGCUCCAGAUUUGUUUUUAUCACUUUUUACAAUAUUUUUUAUGUAUCCCUAACUUACCGAGUCAUUUUUAGCUUUGAUUUCCCAUAUACGCCAGCCUGAAUAUCCCAUGGUCAGCAUAUUUGCAUGGUUAGUGGACAUUGUCCCUUUCUUUCGUAUUUAGUGAUGGAUAAAAAGUCAGAAAUGACAAUUCUACUGUAUUAUUCAAUUUGAACUAAUGUUUAGUAUUUUAUUUUGCUGAUAGAAAUAAUUUUAUCCGCUUGAUUUAGGAAGUGCACAUAGGUAAGUCAGCAUAUUUUGUAGCUCUUUCAGAUGUAAAAGCACAUAUUGCAUAGGAAAUUAUUAUCUUCGAAGCAUACUCACAUUUCACUAACAAAUAGGGGGAGGUUCAGACUUCAGAGCAAUGAUAACAAGGGUGCCGAGGGAUAGAACUGGUCAUGUUGAAAGUCAGUUUAGUGCAUCAAGGAUGGGAGGUUAAGAGAUUUGCAAGAGGUGAUGGAGGAUGGUUAGUUAUUGUGGCUCAUUAUAUAGUAGUGAAAGAUGAGUACAAGCAUAAGCUUAUUCAAAAUUGCAGUUCUUGAUUCAUGGGACAUAUUUUUUGUAAUAUUUUUCAAUUCUUCUAAGA
Non-coding RNA from Aegilops tauschii subsp. strangulata, 2553 nucleotides. The record is from RefSeq and is a predicted model, not a curated record. Lineage: Eukaryota; Viridiplantae; Streptophyta; Magnoliopsida; Poales; Poaceae.